Molecule: ribosomal RNA, 468 nt
Filed under: uncultured bacterium
Lineage: Bacteria
Description: partial 16S ribosomal RNA
Rfam family: Bacterial small subunit ribosomal RNA
Source: RNAcentral
GACGAACGCUGGCGGCGUGCUUAACACAUGCAAGUCGAACGGAAAGGCCCUGCUUUUGUGGGGUGCUCGAGUGGCGAACGGGUGAGUAACACGUGAGUAACCUGCCCUUGACUUUGGGAUAACUUCAGGAAACUGGGGCUAAUACCGGAUAGGAGCUCCUGCUGCAUGGUGGGGGUUGGAAAGUUUCGGCGGUUGGGGAUGGACUCGCGGCUUAUCAGCUUGUUGGUGGGGUAGUGGCUUACCAAGGCUUUGACGGGUAGCCGGCCUGAGAGGGUGACCGGCCCCCUUGGGCCUGAGAUACGGCCCAGUCUCCUACGGGAGGCAGCAGUGGGGAAUAUUGCACAAUGGGCGGACGCCUGAUGCAGCAACGCCGCGUGCGGGAUGACGGCCUUCGGGUUGUAAACCGCUUUCGCCUGUGACGAAGCGUGAGUGACGGUACUGGGUAAAGAAGCACCGGCUAACUACGUG